This 407-nucleotide long non-coding RNA is filed under the name Brassica napus (rape). RNAcentral describes it as "long non-coding RNA (BNAP_LNC005571)". The record is from RNAcentral. Lineage: Eukaryota; Viridiplantae; Streptophyta; Magnoliopsida; Brassicales; Brassicaceae.
UCUAUAUAUAAAGUGGUAAGAUAUUAUUUUAAUAAAUGGGUAAUUGAAUAUAAAAACAUACCAUAUAAACCGUAUGGUUUGGUUUAAUGUGGUUUGAUACCUUGCUCUAACGCUAAAUUUUCCUAACAGAUGUAACAAUUCAUGGAGAAUAUAAUAUACGUUGGACUAUGUUGAUGGCAUUCAUCGUAAUUUAUCUAGUGAAUAGAGGGUUAUUUAAUAGUUAGUGUGAAAAUUAAUGUAGAGUUUAUACAUCAUCAUUAUAGCAAAUUUUUUAAUAAUACCAAAAACUAAAACUAAAGUUAUUUUUAUAAAAUAAUUCUUCUUUAAUAUCUAAGGGAUUUAUUUCCUCUAGCUAAUUCAUUUUACAGUGGGUUGAAGAUCGAUUUUAAAAUUAAAAAUUUUAAAUG